This 500-nucleotide ribosomal RNA is filed under the name uncultured bacterium. RNAcentral's name for it is "partial 16S ribosomal RNA". It matches the Rfam family "Bacterial small subunit ribosomal RNA", at positions 28 to 523 of the family's 1533-position model. The record is from RNAcentral.
GAUGAACGCUGGCGGCAGGCCUAACACAUGCAAGUCGAGCGGCAGCGCGGGGGCAACCCUGGCGGCGAGCGGCGGACGGGUGAGGAAUUCGUCGGAAUCUGCCUUUUUGUGGGGGAUAACGUAGGGAAACUUACGCUAAUACCGCAUACGACCUACGGGUGAAAGUGGGGGACCGCAAGGCCUCACGCAGAAAGAUGAGCCGACGACCGAUUAGCUAGUUGGUGGGGUAAAGGCCCACCAAGGCGACGAUCGGUAGCUGGUCUGAGAGGAUGAUCAGCCACACUGGGACUGAGACACGGCCCAGACUCCUACGGGAGGCAGCAGUGGGGAAUAUUGGACAAUGGGCGCAAGCCUGAUCCAGCCAUGCCGCGUGUGUGAAGAAGGCCUUCGGGUUGUAAAGCACUUUUGUCCGGAAAGAAAUCUUCCAACUUAAUACGUUGGGAGGAUGACGGUACCGGAAGAAUAAGCACCGGCUAACUUCGUGCCAGCAGCCGCAGUAA